This 155-nucleotide non-coding RNA is filed under the name Acanthamoeba castellanii str. Neff. Its description in RNAcentral is "Eukaryotic small subunit ribosomal RNA". It matches the Rfam family "Eukaryotic small subunit ribosomal RNA", at positions 22 to 605 of the family's 1831-position model. Lineage: Eukaryota; Discosea; Longamoebia; Acanthamoebidae. The record is from Rfam by way of RNAcentral.
AUUCACAUGCUACCGCCCGUGUAAAUAACAAUACAGGCGCUCGAUAAGAGUCUUGUAAUUGGAAUGAGUACAAUUUAAACCCCUUAACGAGUAACAAUUGGAGGGCAAGUCUGGUGCCAGCAGCCGCGGUAAUUCCAGCUCCAAUAGCGUAUAUU